This 334-nucleotide ribosomal RNA is filed under the name uncultured bacterium. RNAcentral's name for it is "bacterial SSU rRNA". It matches the Rfam family "Bacterial small subunit ribosomal RNA", at positions 568 to 898 of the family's 1533-position model. The record is from RNAcentral.
CGUGUAGGCGGCUUUUCAAGUUCGUCGUGAAAGCUCCCGGCUAAACCGGGGAGGGUCGAGGGAGACUGAGAAGCUAGAGGGCGGUAGAGGGACAGGGAAUUCCGGGUGUAGUGGUGAAAUGCGUAGAGAUCCGGAGGAACACCAGUGGCGAAGGCGCUGUCCUGGGCCGCAACUGACGCUGAGACGCGAAAGCAUGGGGAGCGAACGGGAUUAGAAACCCCGGUAGUCCAUGCCGUAAACGAUGUCGACUAGGUGUUCGGCUCCCGGAAGGGAGCGGGGUGCCGCAGCCAACGCGAUAAGUCGACCGCCUGGGGAGUACGGUCGCAAGGCUAAA